AAGGCCUUAGCUUAAUUAAAGUGUCUGGGUUGCAUUCAGAAUAUGUGGGAUAGAGUCCUGCAGGCCUUA
This 69-nucleotide transfer RNA is filed under the name Synaphobranchus kaupii (Kaup's arrowtooth eel). RNAcentral describes it as "tRNA-Ala". It matches the Rfam family "tRNA". From Rfam's summary of the family: Transfer RNA (tRNA) molecules are approximately 80 nucleotides in length. Their secondary structure includes four short double-helical elements and three loops (D, anti-codon, and T loops). Lineage: Eukaryota; Metazoa; Chordata; Actinopteri; Anguilliformes; Synaphobranchidae. RNAcentral also lists the same sequence under 3 other names. The record is from RNAcentral.